GACGUAGGGGGCGAGCGUUGUCCGGAAUUACUGGGCGUAAAGAGCACGUAGGCGGGAAUUUAAGUCAGGUGUGAAAGACCGCAGCUUAACUGCGGGGUUGCACUUGAAACUGAAUUUCUUGAGGGCAGGAGAGGAAAGCAGAAUUCCUGGUGUAGCGGUGAAAUGCGUAGAAAUCAGGAGGAAUACCAGUGGCGAAGGCGGCUUUCUGGACUGACCCUGACGCUGAGGUGCGAAAGCGUGGGUAGCAAACAGGAUUAGAUACCCUGGUAGUCCACGCCGUAAACGAUGGAUACUAGGUGUAGGAGGUAUCGACCCCUUCUGUGCCGCAGCUAACGCAAUAAGUAUCCCGCCUGGGGAGUACGGUCGCAAGGCUGAA
RNAcentral lists this ribosomal RNA (376 nucleotides) under uncultured bacterium. Its description in RNAcentral is "bacterial SSU rRNA". It matches the Rfam family "Bacterial small subunit ribosomal RNA", at positions 524 to 898 of the family's 1533-position model. The record is from RNAcentral.